GAUUACGGUUUGCGCAUGGUCUUGGAUGCACACUGCGUAGGGACGACAUAUUUGACUGUGCAACUGUAUGUCGAACUCAUUCCUCAGAUGGGUGUUGCCGCACAUGGGCAGCCGGGAACGUCUAUUGAGGACGUGGUUGAAGCGGAGGAAGAAGAUGCAGAUGUUGGUGGGAUGCCUGUUGUGGAUAUGAACGAAUGUCUACGAUCGUCAUUCGAGGUGCAGACGUAUGAAGGAACUACUAUUCAUACGAAUUAUCAUGGUGUUUGCGAAGAUGUUUCAGCAGAACAACCAGGAUCGUUAUUCGCAAUAGCGAACAACGCGCUGGACGUGGGGAUGAACAUCACGAACGAUGUUCAUUUACAAGAUGACACGUACGAGGAGGAAAUUGGUGAAGGGACGAACGAGUUCCCCGAUGAUGUCGACCCACCCCCUCGUCAAUCGAACAAUGGCAUGUAUACGGCAGAUUUCAUGGACGAACCUCCUAUGUAUGGUGUAAUUGACGUAGAUGCUGCAGAUUUGUCCCAUGGUGACGAGCUUCCUAUACGGGUAACUCGUUGGGAUGAAUCAUCAGAACUGAGUCAAGGGAUGCUAUUCGGGUCGAAAGAUCAAUUGAUAGCUGCUGUGCGAAUAUACCACGCUCAAACGCACCAUGACUUUCACGUCCUGCAGUCGACCCCACUAUUAUGAGUUGUUAGGUGUAAGAACUCUGAAUGCAGUUGGAGACUGCGUGCGAUGUAUCGUCAGAAACAUCGAUUCUUCGAAAUCACUCAAUAUGGGGUCCGCACACAUGCUUGAAUGAACUCCUCUCGCAAGACCAUAGCCAAAUCACGUCGUCCCUUAUUGCUAGGGAGAUUGUGAAUAUGAUAAGGGGUGAUGCGUCGACCUCAAUCGCUACAUUGAAAGAAUUCAUAGAUCGUCGUUUCGGCUAUUCCAUCUCAUAUAAGAAAAUUUGGUUUGGAAAACAGAAGGCAAUUGCCAUAGUAUUCGGCGAUUGGAGAAGUCUUAUCAGACGUUGCCUAGGUGGAUGGAAGCAAUGUGCACUUAUAAUCCUGGUAUUAUCGUCAAGUGGAGGUGGAACCCUAUACCAGGCAGCGAUCAGACCGUAACAUUUGUAUCAGUCUUUUGGGCGUUCGUAGCAUCUAUUCAGGGUUUUCCCCACUGUCCUCCUGUAAUAUGUAUAGAUGGGACACACUUGUACGGUAAGUACAAAGGAAAACUCCUUAUUGCGACGUGCCCGGAUGCAAAUAGGCAAAUAUUUUUCCUUGCAUUCGCUAUUGUGCCAGAGGAAAGUUUGGACACAUGGAAUUGGUUUCUGUGUUGUCUUCGUUCCAUUACCGAUAGGGACGACAUUUGCCUUAUAUCAGAUAGGCAUCCAGGGAUCAUCGCUGCAGUGUCUCACAAUCCUGAUUGGCAGCCACCGCGUGCGCUCCACCGAUUCUGCCUUCGACACGUUGUAAGCAACUUCAGCACGAAAGUGCACAGUGUCAAUCUGAAGCGAAUGGCUGAGCGCGCGGGAAGGGAGCAUCAGGUCAGAAAGUUUAACAUGUGGAUGGAGAAGAUCUUCGAUGAGGGUGGGGAACUCGCGAAGACGUUCUUUGAUCAAAUCGCUCCUCAUAUGUGGACUCAGUGCCACGACGGGGGCAGAAGGUAUGGGAACAUGACGACAAACCUCGUCGAAUGUUUCAAUGCCGUCCUUAAGGGCGCUCGUAGCCUCCCAAUCACUGUCCUUGUGCAACUGACAUUUUAUCGCGUUGCACAUUAUUUCAACAGCCGACGGGAGGCUGCUCGUAAUGCAAUAUUAGGAGGAAAUGCAUUAACUCUUCAUAUAUUGCUUGCGAUGGAAAGAAAGAAGUUGAAGGCGACCAGACAUCGCAUGACGACGUUCAAUCGGUCUAGAGGUACUUUUAGCAUCACGACUGCGCAGUUGGGACAUCAUAAAGGAAACAACGUGCAAACGCUGCGCAUUCAGGAUUUGCACGUCUGCUCCUAUGGGAAGUGGCAAGCCUUACACUUUCCAUGUUCCAACCUUCUCGCUGCAUGUGCGGAGACACGACUCAACGCCAUGCAGUACGUUGAGCCUUGUUGGAGCACCGCCGAACAUUAUGCGACAUAUGUGGUGGAUUUUCAGCCGAUUAUGCACGAGGCGUACUGGCCAGCAUUGUCGUUGCCGACUAUACAGGCAAAUCCAGCGUAUGCUCGACAUAAAUGUCGUCCAAGGAGCUCCCGUAUACACAAUGAGAUGGACGCUAGGGAAGGUAGGAAAAGGAGCACGUGCAGUAUAUGUCAUCAAGAAGGGCAUAAUCGCACAAGGUGUCCGAGAAGGACCCACUCGGGCGAUGCAGCGGGACCGUCGCGUUGAUGUCGUAUGCAAUUUUAUACUAUUUCACACCGUUUUUUUUUUUUCUUGUAUAUACCUAUUCUGAUGCAACGAUGCAUUUCUAGGAUUGAUCCCGGGUCGUCCGAUCCGAGCGUAUUGACGAUAGGCGAUCAUCACAGGGCCAGCCGAGCGUGGGCUGAUGGGCAUGCGGAGCCCCUGUGCUGCCGAGGGGGCACGCAGUUUGCCGAGCGUUGGUUAGAGGCAGACCCCUGCAUUGUCCAGCUGAUACGCGAUGCGGGGUUUUAUGGCAUUUAUCGGAUUGCUCAUAUCCAGCUUGUUUGGCAUCUUGUCACAUCAUUGGUGGAGCGAUGGAGACCCGAGACGCACACGUUCCACCUACCUCAUGACGAGGCCACCGUCACAUUACAGGACGUAGCUGUUUUGUUCGGGUUGCCGAUUGAUGGGCGAGCUGUCACUGGUCGCACUGUCGGACCAGUGGAGGGACCUACAGACCGUUAGGGUUGACUCGCCCUGCGUACUAUGUGCGAGCGUUUGUUAGGUGUCGUUCCGCCUAACAGCGAGUUGGUUGGUGCACGCAUCUGUAUGCGGUUCCUUGAGGGGAUGCGUUUUGUGAGCUCCCGGCACAUGCAGAUGUUCAGACGAUAGCAUGCCACGCACGAGCCCAUUUGUUGCGUUUGAUUUGGGGGUGAUCUUCUCGGAUGUUUUCGGCAGUUAUGCGCAUCUGAUGUUCCUUCCACUCAUUCAGGAUUUCGGAGCGUGUCACUCGUACAGUUGGGGGUCCGCCACUUUGGCGUGGUUGUAUAGAGAGAUAUGUCGCGCCGCGCACCACUCGAAGACACAGAUUGCGGGCCCCCUUCGCUUACUCCAGGUUUGGGCUUGGGAGAGAUUUCCUUCAUUCGCGCCUACGCGGCAAGGUUUCCUGCAGAUUGAGAGGGGUCAGGACGGUCGUCCAGUUGAUCCUCUCCCACUCGCAUAUCUGUUAGUACAAAUUUUAUCUAUCCCUUCUCAUUCACUCAAUAACUAUUACGAAUACUAAUUCGUGAUAUGUAGUACUCCUGCAUUUGGGAACUUACGUUUCAUCUUAUACAGAUGGAGGGACGACUUGAGGGCAUCGAUGGUUGCGCUUCACACAUUGCCCUAGUACAGGUUCGAGUUGGACAUGCACCGGGAGCAUGAGUUUAUAUGGAUGCCCUACACGGAUGAGAUUUUAGCCGACAUGCCGCCUGUCUAUGCAGACGGGAGGGACCUGUGGGUAGCGCGAGUGUCACUCAUAUGCUUUCAUAUUAUUGAGUGGUAUCUCCCCGAUCGAGUCAUGCGACAGUUCGGGUUUCGACAGGUCAUUCCCGCCCCAUUUAUGACUUCGGGGGUAGAUAUUGUUGGGGACGAUCUCCACGACAUGGAUGGGCGCGGUCGAGGGGUCACAAACUGGUCGAGUACGCACGCGAUAUUCGUCAUUGCGUGGGAGCAUCGGCGAGACUACAUUGUAGGAGGAGUGGCGGAGCACAGUCCGAUGCGUCUAGAUGACCUAUACUUCACUUGGUAUAGGUCUAUCACUCGCUGCUUCGUCGACAGGACCACAGCUGUAUAUUUGAGCCUCGCUGACAUAGUCAUUGAGGCAAACCAGAUCUCGUCGGAUCUUGCGAUCCACCGAUUGAUGAGUGCUGCACUGGACCUCGUCCACGAGGACGAUCGACGGAUCCCAGAACGAGGAGGUCGACCUGAUGUACCAGCACGAGGAGGUCGACCAGCUCCAGUACGAGGAGGACGACAUGCCUCCUCUAGUCGUCCAGGGACUCCCAUGUCCUCCCCACCAGUCGUACAGGCCGAGUACUUGUUCGGCCCGUCAGCGCCUUAUGCGCCUUCCACUGCAGCUCAUAUUGCCGGACCAUCAAGCAGACCGACUGAUGCCCUAUCCGACUCUGCUGCUACCCCAUCCAUGUCAUUUUUAUUGGACGAUCUUUUCGAUGGGGUGGAGGUCGAUGCACCCCCUAUGUCGCCUCGUUCUCGUCCCGAGACAUCGUAUCAUUUCUCACCGCGUGCGCUCCGCAUGGCUGAUGAUGAUGCAGCACCUCUUGGGGGAGAGGAUUCACAUUCAGCACGACGGGACAGGACACCUGAUGAUGUUGAUGAGCAGAGAGAGGGUAGACGUAGACGGCAGUCACCACGAUCUCGGAGAUGACCUCGCUGCGACACGGAGUAGUUUAGCAUUAUUUUAAAUGCAUUUUAUUUGGAUGGUGCUAGGGAAAUACAGUCACGAUCAUCAAAAAGCAGAAAUUUACCUACUUCUGAGUAUCUGCCCAAUCACAUUAAGAGGAAAACAACUGCUUCCUACAGAGAGCUGGA
RNA transcript from Malania oleifera, 4681 nucleotides. It is a transcript of the gene named probable U3 small nucleolar RNA-associated protein 11, with no coding region annotated. The record is from RefSeq and is a predicted model, not a curated record. NCBI's taxonomy places the organism in Eukaryota, Viridiplantae, Streptophyta, Magnoliopsida, Santalales, Ximeniaceae. The transcript is spliced from 5 exons.